AACGAACGCUGGCGGCAUGCCUAACACAUGCAAGUCGAACGAGACCUUCGGGUCUAGUGGCGCACGGGUGCGUAACGCGUGGGAAUCUGCCCUUGGGUUCGGAAUAACAGUUGGAAACGACUGCUAAUACCGGAUGAUGACGUAAGUCCAAAGAUUUAUCGCCCAGGGAUGAGCCCGCGUAGGAUUAGCUAGUUGGUGGGGUAAAGGCCUACCAAGGCGACGAUCCUUAGCUGGUCUGAGAGGAUGAUCAGCCACACUGGGACUGAGACACGGCCCAGACUCCUACGGGAGGCAGCAGUGGGGAAUAUUGGACAUUGGGCGAAAGCCUGAUCCAGCAAUGCCGCGUGAGUGAUGAAGGCCUUAGGGUUGUAAAACUCUUUUACCCGGGAUGAUAAUGACAGUACCGGGAGAAUAAGCCCCGGCUAACUCCGUG
RNAcentral lists this ribosomal RNA (433 nucleotides) under uncultured bacterium. RNAcentral's name for it is "partial 16S ribosomal RNA". It matches the Rfam family "Bacterial small subunit ribosomal RNA", at positions 29 to 507 of the family's 1533-position model. The record is from RNAcentral.